GUUCCAACGAAGCCAACUCCAGCUGUGAAAAAUAAACCUGCUCAGGGAUCUCAACUACAGGAAAAGCCUCCUCACCAAACCAAGAUGACUGCACAACUCCAAGCAUUCCGCAUUCCCAAGAAGGUGUCUGCAGAUCCACCACAUGUGAGCAAACCUGCCCAGUCUCAGACCCAAGUUCAACUUCAAGCACCACAGCCACAACACAGUAGACCAUCUUCAAGCUGUACUACUCGGGGAAAAACGACAAGCGAGGGACACUUCGGAUACACCUAGCAAGAAGCAGAAGACUGGGAAAGUUGUCGGCAAGGCAACAAGCUCAACAGUGCUAAAGGCUGGAACUUCCAGUCAUCCCAGUACGAUUUCUAGUAAAAUGACUGGAAAUGAAAAAAAACAAGAUGUCGAGGAAAGAAGAAAACAAGACAGACAGUAAAGGAUGAAACAAGACAGGAAAGAAUUCUGAAGUCAUUGCACUCAAACCCAAUAUUAGCCAUUGCACAUUUUCUCAGCCACAGCAUCAUUGCGUCUUCCAGACGAGAAGUCCUCUGAUACACAAGCUGAAAGGAAUACGAGAAAGUCUACUGCGUGACUUGUACAGCCAAUUGUAGCUCCACAAGCAAUCAUUGCAGCCACAGACUUGACCCUUCUGGACUACAAGAACAAAGAGAAUCUUCGUGAAGAAUCUGAAAUGGUCAUAGGAAGCGCAACAAGAGAAAUUGUGAACACUUUAGAUGAGUCUGAUUGCCAUAAGUUUUAUGCAGCAGUGCGUUCAUAUUACACCAAGGCAUGUGACUACAUUGUAAGUAAGUUUCCAUUCAAGUCUGAUGUUCUCAUCCAUGUGCAAGUGGCUGACAUUGCAUGUCAGAAGGAUGCCAAAUUCACUUCUCUAAAGUUCUUCAUCAACAAGUUCCCCUGCAUGCUGCUUCAGGAAGAAGAAGACAAGCACAGUGCCCUAGAUGCUCUGGAGAACCAGUUUCUUAUCUAUCAACUUGCUCAGCUUCCGUACUUAGUGCAAAAUGAGGAAUCUACUGACAAGCAGUGGACAGAUGACAGAGAAGAAUGCUUCUGGUGAACUGUGCUAUGACAGACUUGCAAGAGUAAUGCUUGGGAUUCUAACCAUACCCCAUACCAAUGCUGAAUGUGAAAGGGUCUUCAGUCAGGUGCGAAAGAACAAAACUGACUUCAGAGGGUCCAUGAGCAACGAAACUCUAGAAAGUGUCCUUAUUACCAAGGCUCGUCAAACAACACCCUGCUACAUGAGGGAAUGUGACUCUGAUUUUCCGAAGAGAGCAAAAUCUGCAACAUACAGAGCUCUAAAUGAGUAGUAUGGGAGAGUAGAUGUAAGUGUCAGGAAAGGCAGGUAAACCUGUGUUUUUCUCAGAACUCAUUUUUCUAAUUACUCAACUACCCAUUUUAAAAGGUUGAAUUUUAUGGGAAAUGGUCCCUAAAAUAGGCUCAGAGUGCACCAGAGAGCAUCUAGUACCCCGGCUAAAGAGACUUCGCGCUCGUGAUGUGCGCUAUGCGCACAUGAUAUUCAGUUUUACUUUAAAUGUUACUAAUUGAAAAUUCCAAAUGUUGGCAGCUAUGCCAGGCCAAGGUAGUUGCUUGAAAGAGGACUUUUGUCUUGGCUUCUUUCGAUUUGCAAAGUGAAUGUGGCUGCAACGUUACUCUAUGCCAUCCAGAACACACAUCUCAAAGUCAUCGCACACAAUUUUCUGGAGAGUGGGCAUUCCCACAUGGAAUGCAAUAGCAUGCAUUCUGCUAUUGAAACAGAAAAAAAGAACAUCAAUGUCUUCACAAUGCAUGACUGGGUAAAAAAUCUUCCACAAAUUAAGACGUCGGCUUCCAUACAAGGUCAUAAACAUGUGCCAUGGAGACUUUUAUGAUCUGAAAAAACUCUCACAGCAGAUCAUGAAUAACAAACGCCCAGACGAAGAUGGACACGUCUUCAACUGGCUACAUGUAAAGAGCUUCCAAUACAGGAAGGAAGAGCAAGGCACCAUCUGCUACCAUCUAUAGCUACUUGGAUGACUACAAGAAGAUAGAUCAUCAGUUCCACGUAAUCUGGACCUUGUCUACCAAGAGAAGCAUU
Molecule: long non-coding RNA, 2089 nt
Organism: Strongylocentrotus purpuratus (purple sea urchin)
Lineage: Eukaryota; Metazoa; Echinodermata; Echinoidea; Camarodonta; Strongylocentrotidae
Exons: 3
Source: RefSeq, a predicted model, not a curated record